AACGCACAUUGCGCCUUCUGGCAAUCCAGGAGGCAUGCCUGUCCGAGCGUCAUUGCAACCCCUCAAGCACGGCUUGCGUGUUGGGCUUCACGUCCCCCGUGGACGGGCCCGAAAGGCAGUGGCGGCGUCGUGGUCCGGUGCCCGAGCGUAUGGGUCUUCGUUAUCCGCUCUGGGGCCCGGUCCGGCGCCCGCCGUCGACUUCGAUCUGUUCUCGUGGUUGACCUCGGAUCAGGUAGGGAUACCCGCUGAACUUAA
This 255-nucleotide unclassified non-coding RNA is filed under the name uncultured fungus. Its description in RNAcentral is "partial contains 5.8S ribosomal RNA, internal transcribed spacer 2, and large subunit ribosomal RNA". Lineage: Eukaryota; Fungi. The record is from RNAcentral.